Molecule: RNA transcript, 740 nt
Organism: Carlito syrichta (Philippine tarsier)
Lineage: Eukaryota; Metazoa; Chordata; Mammalia; Primates; Tarsiidae
Gene name: casein kinase II subunit beta pseudogene
Exons: 2
Source: RefSeq, a predicted model, not a curated record
AUGGAAGGAUGGAGAGAGAGGUGCAGCGCUGCCGGAACUGACAAGCCAGAGGUGCACACUGGCAACCCAGAGAUCCGAGGAAUGCAAAGAAUUGCAACACACAAAGAGAUUUCUUGAUUCUGUGGGCUCCGUGGCAAUGAAUUCUUCUGUGAAGUGGAUGAAGACUACCUCCAGGACAAAUUUAAUCUUACUGGACUCAAUGCGCAGGUGUCUCACUAUCGACAAGCUCUAGACAUGAUCUUGGUCCUGGAACCUGAUAAAGAACUGGAAGACAACCCCAACGAAAGUGACCUGAUUGAGAAGGCAGCUGAGAUGCUUUAUGGGUUGAUCCACACCCGCUACAUCCUCAUCAACCGUGGCAUCGCCCAGAUGCUGGAAAAGUACCAGCAGGGAGACUUUGGUUACAGUCCCCCGUGUCUACUGUGAGAACCAGCCAAUGCUUCCUUCCCAUCGGCCUUUUGGACAUCCCAGGUGAAGCCACGGUGAAGCUCUACUGCCCUAAGUACAUGGAUGUAUACACACCCAAGCCAUCAAGACAUCAUCACACAGAUGGCGCCUACUUGGGCACUGGUUUCCUUCACAUGCUUUUCAUGGUGCAUCCUGCGUACUGGCCCAAGCAACCUGCCAACCAGUUUGUGCCCAGGCUCUACGGUUUCAAGAUCCAUCCGAUGGCAUACCAGCUGCAGCUCCAAGCCGCCAGCAACUUCAAGAGCCCAGUCAAGACAAUUCGUUGAUUCCCC